RNAcentral lists this long non-coding RNA (517 nucleotides) under Mytilus galloprovincialis (Mediterranean mussel). The record is from RNAcentral. Lineage: Eukaryota; Metazoa; Mollusca; Bivalvia; Mytilida; Mytilidae.
UUUUGCGCAUCGAAUCUUUUAUUUUUUGUUUGAUUUGGAAAUUAUGUAUCAUGUUCCAUAAAGUUCAUAUGAUCUUUUGGAAAAUUUUAUGGUACAAGAAUUAGAAAAUGGCGUUUUAUUUAGUAAUCGCAAAAAUUGGAAUGUGUUUUCAUGACCUUUGACCUUGAUUUAACAGAAAAUGCACCGUACGAUUUUUUUACGACCGGGCAAAACAGAAAUUACAGAUUAUCAGCUUUCGAAUGAUAUAUAAUACAGCCGUGUGUUAGGUGGGUGCAUUAAAGUCGUUAACUGAGCGUCUUUUUGAAAUAAGUCACUCGCCGCCUAUUAGCGAAACGAUUGUUAAACUUACACACAUAUACAACUGGUACUGUGCGUAGUAAUCGCCCCUUACCAAACCUUAUCAAAUCGGUUAAGUUAAGGGCCUCCCAGAGUAUGUUCAUGCGGCAGCAAGAAAUUUUGGUAUGUGCGUUUAAGGAAAAAGAAAAGCGAAAAAAUGUCAAAAUGUUGUCUACCCGGU